CAGCCGCCGCGGGAAUACGAAGGGGGCUAGCGUUGCUCGGAAUGACUGGGCGUAAAGGGCGCGUAGGCGGCGAUCAAAGUCAGGCGUGAAAUUCCUGGGCUCAACCUGGGGGCUGCGCUUGAUACUUGGUUGCUUGAGUGGGGAAGAGGGUCGUGGAAUUCCCAGUGUAGAGGUGAAAUUCGUAGAUAUUGGGAAGAACACCGGUGGCGAAGGCGGCGACCUGGUCUUUUACCGACGCUGAGGCGCGAAGCGUGGGGAGCAAACAGGAUUAGAUACCCCGGUAGUCCCUGUCUCUUAUACA
RNAcentral lists this ribosomal RNA (301 nucleotides) under uncultured bacterium. RNAcentral's name for it is "partial 16S ribosomal RNA". It matches the Rfam family "Bacterial small subunit ribosomal RNA", at positions 509 to 808 of the family's 1533-position model. The record is from RNAcentral.